RNAcentral lists this ribosomal RNA (586 nucleotides) under uncultured bacterium. RNAcentral's name for it is "partial 16S ribosomal RNA". It matches the Rfam family "Bacterial small subunit ribosomal RNA", at positions 355 to 1375 of the family's 1533-position model. The record is from RNAcentral.
UGGGGAAUUUUGGACAAUGGGCGAAAGCCUGAUCCAGCAAUGCCGUGUGUGUGAAGAAGGCCUUCGGGUUGUAAAGCACUUUUGUCCGGAAAGAAAUCCUUGGCUCUAAUACAGUCGGGGGAUGACGGUACCGGAAGAAUAAGCACCGGCUAACUACGUGCCAGCAGCCGCGGUAAUACGUAGGGUGCAAGCGUUAAUCGGAAUUACUGGGCGUAAAGCGUGCGCAGGCGGUUUGCUAAGACCGAUGUGAAAUCCCCGGGCUCAACCUGGGAACUGCAUUGGUGACUGGCAGGCUAGAGUAUGGCAGAGGGGGGUAGAAUUCCACGUGUAGCAGUGAAAUGCGUAGAGAUGUGGAGGAAUACCGAUGGCGAAGGCAGCCCCCUGGGCCAAUACUGACGCUCAUGCACGAAAGCGUGGGGAGCAAAACAGGAUUAGAUACCCUGGUAGUCCACGCCCUAAACGAUGUCAACUAGUUGUUGGGGAUUCAUUUCCUUAGUAACGUAGCUAACGCGUGAAGUUGACCGCCUGGGGAGUACGGUCGCAAGAUUAAAACUCAAAUGAAUUGACGGGGUCAUAGCUGUUUCCU